This 73-nucleotide transfer RNA is filed under the name Ursus americanus (American black bear). It matches the Rfam family "tRNA". From Rfam's summary of the family: Transfer RNA (tRNA) molecules are approximately 80 nucleotides in length. Their secondary structure includes four short double-helical elements and three loops (D, anti-codon, and T loops). RNAcentral also lists the same sequence under 2 other names. The record is from Rfam by way of RNAcentral. Lineage: Eukaryota; Metazoa; Chordata; Mammalia; Carnivora; Ursidae.
CCCUGGCUGGCUCAGUUGGUAGAGCAUGUGACUCUUGAUCUCGGGAGUGUAAGUUCAAGUCCCACGUUGGGUA